UGGGUAGUCCGUACGAGCGCACCCUAUCCUUAGUUGCCAGCGAGUAUGUCGGGAACUCUAGGGAGACUGCCGGUGACAAACCGGAGGAAGGUGGGGACGACGUCAAGUCAUCAUGGCCCUUAUGGGCAGGGCUACACACGUGCUACAAUGGCCGGCACAGAGGGCUGCGAAGUCGCAAGGCGGAGCGAAUCUCAGAAAACCGGUCGUAGUCCGGAUUGCAGUCUGCAACUCGACAGCAUGAAGUUGGAAUCGCUAGUAAUCGCGGAUCAGAAUGCCGCGGUGAAUACGUUCCCGGGCCUUGUACACACCGCCCGUCACACCAUGGGAGUGGGCUGUACCAGAAGUAGGUAGUCUAACCUUCGGGGGGACGCUUACCACGGUGUGGUUCAUGACUGGGGUGAAGUCGUAACAAGGUAGCCCUAGGGGAACCUGGGGCUGGAUCACCUCCUU
This 450-nucleotide ribosomal RNA is filed under the name uncultured Thiotrichales bacterium. RNAcentral's name for it is "bacterial SSU rRNA". It matches the Rfam family "Bacterial small subunit ribosomal RNA", at positions 1077 to 1532 of the family's 1533-position model. The record is from RNAcentral. Lineage: Bacteria; Pseudomonadati; Pseudomonadota; Gammaproteobacteria; Thiotrichales.